GGGAACGCUGGUGGGAAAUUUUGCAAAAUGGUCUGAAAUUUAAAUAAUAUUUAAAGUCUGGCUUUGGCCAGUUUGUGGAACACCCAAGUUUCUUCUUGUCUUUGGACCUUCGCAUAUAUUACGCUUUCUCCUACCUGGGAGCUGUAGAAUAGUGGAUUAGGUGGAUGGUAUUCCUGUGCAAGGGAGGCUUUCACUUUUCAUUUUGUACUAAUUUUACUCAUGUGCUACUGAAUAUAUUAACAGAGAUUAUUAAGGAGCUGCCUGUGGAUGACUUAAAGAGGAAUUUAUUUAACCAAAGGAUACUGGCUAAGUCUCAGAAGAAGAACCAUGCUUGGAAAAGAGGGAAAAACAAAAGGAGACAGGGCAUAUGUAACAACUGCCAAAAUCACUCCACGCAGCAGCUCAUCAUGGACUCCACUGUCAUUACUGCUGAAGGCUGGGAUCCACAGAAGACAGCAGACCUUCAAGCAACACAGAAUUCCAGAGUCAGCAUCAGCAGCAGUGCCAGACUUGGAGAUAAAGAGCAACAUUUUUGAGAGAAGGGAGAAUGAAGCUUGAUGGCCCAAAGCUACAAAAAUUCACCACACAGCCUCUAAUCUGGAACUGCAAGAACCUUAGUCCUCCAUGGAGCCCAUUUGAAAACUGAAGUGAAGUGAGCUCCUAUGGAAGCUUAAAGGAAAGCAUAUGAAAAUCCAUUUUAAUCUAUGACAUGUUCUUCAAAUAUGGGUAUGAUCCUGAAGAGUAUCCAGCAUAGAAAUGGACACACAGAAGGCUCCUUUGAAUAAGAAGACCAAGUCUUUCCCUUCUUUACCACACCAUCAUUGUUUUCCAAGUGACACUCAGGCUCAAAUAAGACUUAGAAGACUUUUGGAUCAAAGGAAAGUGGUAAGUGAAGACUUCAAAUUUA
Long non-coding RNA from Canis lupus familiaris (dog), 907 nucleotides. RefSeq lists it as uncharacterized. The record is from RefSeq and is a predicted model, not a curated record. The transcript is spliced from 7 exons. NCBI's taxonomy places the organism in Eukaryota, Metazoa, Chordata, Mammalia, Carnivora, Canidae.